Molecule: long non-coding RNA, 1131 nt
Organism: Malaclemys terrapin pileata
Lineage: Eukaryota; Metazoa; Chordata; Testudines; Emydidae
Exons: 3
Source: RefSeq, a predicted model, not a curated record
CUUGUCUUCUUUUAUUUCUAUAAAGUUAUACUGUGUAGAUCCUGGUCAACCUACCAAUGUUGCUCGUAGUUAAGCCAACCUAACCCCCAGGCACAGACACGGCCAGGUCUUGGAUUACAGACUAACUGAUGGAAAAGCCCAACUGAUGGAUGAAGGGAGCAGAGAGUCUGUACUACAAUAGCAUAGCUGCAGUAGCACCCAUAGUGUGGACAUGACCUCAGUAAUUACAUAAGGUUUACAUAUGCAAACUAGACACAAUCAACUCCGGUUUGAAUAAGGACUGGGAAUGGCUGAGCCAUUACAAACAUUGAUUCUAUCUUCCCUUGUACAACAUAGCCAAUAGAAGAAUAGACUUCCACACAGGACCUUGGCAAUGUGCCUCUUUUGUGUACACAUACCUAGUGUAAUUGCCUCUUAGAAACUGAUUAUUUUCUAGCUCUAUGUCCACUCAAUGCACAGAUGAUCUUGGGAGCACAGCCUUCCUCUUUGUUAUUGGCAGCAGAAUGGCUGCGCAGAAUUAGAAAGCGGCCAAGAUGAACUAAGGAGGACUUUAUGCAUGAGGUUAUGAUGCACUCAGACGCUGAGAAAAAAUAAUUGAAGGAGUGGUGGGACAGCGAGAAGAGGGACCGAAAGGAGAACGCGGAACACCAGAAAGAAGCCACGGAGCGGCUCUUAAGAAGUUAUGGAGCACCAAGCGGACAUGCUCCAGGCGAUACUAGCUCUUCAAACUAAGCAGCUCUGCACCUGCCCUCCCCUGAAGCUGCUGUCGCAAAACUCUUUCCCAUGCGCUCCCCACACAUCGCCAAUACACUGAUAUCAACCUCCUGGCUCCACUCUCUACCCGCAGCUCCACUCCUCCCUCCUCACAGUCCAGCAGUGUGGACUCCCACUACCCACUGCACUCAAAACCCAUCCCUCUGCAGUUUGGCCUUGCUGAAGUACAGCACCCGCUGCAUCGUAUUCCAAAGGAGAAGGUUGGGUAUGAUCCUUCGACGUACACAAAUCUGUAGCCAUCCCAGGACCCCUCCUCCUCUUGAGACCUUCCCUUCCCCCAUCCCCCUCCCUGCUGAUGAUUUUUUUUCAUUUGAUUCUCUCCUCUGCUUGUUGUCUUUCAAUAAAAGAAUUGUUUGU